GACGAACGCUGGCGGCGUGCUUAACACAUGCAAGUCGAACGGAAAGGCCCUGCUUUUGUGGGGUGCUCGAGUGGCGAACGGGUGAGUAACACGUGAGUAACCUGCCCUUGACUUUGGGAUAACUUCAGGAAACUGGGGCUAAUACCGGAUAGGAGCUCCUGCUGCAUGGUGGGGGUUGGAAAGUUUCGGCGGUUGGGGAUGGACUCGCGGCUUAUCAGCUUGUUGGUGGGGUAGUGGCUUACCAAGGCUUUGACGGGUAGCCGGCCUGAGAGGGUGACCGGCCACAUUGGGACUGAGAUACGGCCCAGACUCCUACGGGAGGCAGCAGGGGGGAAUAUUGCACAAUGGGCGGAAGCCUGAUGCAGCAACGCCGCGUGCGGGAUGACGGCCUUCGGGUUGUAAACCGCUUUCGCCUGUGACGAAGCGUGAGUGACGGUAAUGGGUAAAGAAGCAACGGCUAAGUACGUG
RNAcentral lists this ribosomal RNA (468 nucleotides) under uncultured bacterium. Its description in RNAcentral is "partial 16S ribosomal RNA". It matches the Rfam family "Bacterial small subunit ribosomal RNA", at positions 28 to 507 of the family's 1533-position model. The record is from RNAcentral.